Molecule: microRNA precursor, 98 nt
Filed under: Chlorocebus sabaeus (green monkey)
Lineage: Eukaryota; Metazoa; Chordata; Mammalia; Primates; Cercopithecidae
Description: miRNA (ENSCSAG00000027321.1)
Source: RNAcentral
AUAUAUAUAUAUAUAUAUAUAUAUAUGUGUGUGUGUGUGUGUGUGUGUAUAUAUAUACACACACACACACACACACACAUAUAUAUACACACACACAC